GACGAACGCUGGCGGCGUGCCUAAUACAUGCAAGUUGAGCGAUGAAGAUUGGUGCUUGCUCCAAUUUGAAGAGCAGCGAACGGGUGAGUAACGCGUGGGGAAUCUGCCUUUGAGCGGGGGACAACAUUUGGAAACGAAUGCUAAUACCGCAUAACAACUUUAAACAUAAGUUUUAAGUUUGAAAGAUGCAAUUGCAUCACUCAAAGAUGAUCCCGCGUUGUAUUAGCUAGUUGGUGAGGUAAAGGCUCACCAAGGCGAUGAUACGUAGCCGACCUGGGAGGGUGAUCGGCCACAUUGGGACCGGGACACGGCCCAAACCCCUACGGGAGGCAGCAGGAGGGAAUCUUCGGCAAUGGAGGAAAGUCUGACCGAGCAACGCCGCGUGAGGGAAGAAGGGUGUCGGAUCGUAAAACUCGGUUGGUAGAGAAGAACGUUGGUGAGAGUGGAAAGCGCAUCAAGUGACGGUAACUACCCAGAAAGGGACGGCUAACUACGUG
Molecule: ribosomal RNA, 497 nt
Filed under: uncultured bacterium
Lineage: Bacteria
Description: partial 16S ribosomal RNA
Rfam family: Bacterial small subunit ribosomal RNA
Source: RNAcentral